UUGCGUCGCGUUGUAGCGCGUGCCACGGAUCUUCGAAGGCGAACAGAAAUGGCAACAUUUCCAACAUUG
RNAcentral lists this ribosomal RNA (69 nucleotides) under Terrazoanthus patagonichus. Its description in RNAcentral is "partial 28S ribosomal RNA". Lineage: Eukaryota; Metazoa; Cnidaria; Anthozoa; Zoantharia; Hydrozoanthidae. The record is from RNAcentral.